RNAcentral lists this ribosomal RNA (253 nucleotides) under uncultured bacterium. Its description in RNAcentral is "partial 16S ribosomal RNA". It matches the Rfam family "Bacterial small subunit ribosomal RNA", at positions 524 to 776 of the family's 1533-position model. The record is from RNAcentral.
UACGGGGGGGGCUAGCGUUGUUCGGAAUUACUGGGCGUAAAGGGCGCGUAGGCGGUCUGCUAAGUUGGAUGUGAAAACUCUGGGCUUAACCCAGAGCCUGCAUUCAAUACUGACAGGCUAGAGUUCUGGAGGGGAUAGCGGAAUUCCUGGUGUAGCGGUGAAAUGCGUAGAUAUCUGGAGGAACACCGGUGGCGAAGGCGGCAUCCUGGACCGGCAUUGACGCUGAGGCGCGAAAGCUAGGGGAGCAAACGGG